ACUCAAAGGAAUUGACGGGGACCCGCACAAGCGGUGGAGCAUGUGGUUUAGUUCGAAGCAACGCGAAGAACCUUACCAAGUCUUGACAUCCCUCUGACCGGCCCGUAACGGGGCCUUCCCUUCGGGGCAGAGGAGACAGGUGGUGCAUGGUUGUCGUCAGCUCGUGUCGUGAGAUGUUGGGUUAAGUCCCGCAACGAGCGCAACCCCUAUCCUUAGUAGCCAGCAGGUGAAGCUGGGCACUCUAGGGAGACUGCCGGGGAUAACCCGGAGGAAGGCGGGGACGACGUCAAAUCAUCAUGCCCCUUAUGAUUUGGGCUACACACGUGCUACAAUGGCGUAAACAAAGGGAAGCGAGACAGCGAUGUUGAGCAAAUCCCAAAAAUAACGUCCCAGUUCGGACUGCAGUCUGCAACUCGACUGCACGAAGCUGGAAUCGCUAGUAAUCGCGAAUCAGAAUGUCGCGGUGAAUACGUUCCCGGGUCUUGUACACACCGCCCGUC
Molecule: ribosomal RNA, 500 nt
Filed under: uncultured bacterium
Lineage: Bacteria
Description: bacterial SSU rRNA
Rfam family: Bacterial small subunit ribosomal RNA
Source: RNAcentral